This 3848-nucleotide long non-coding RNA is filed under the name Zea mays. RNAcentral describes it as "long non-coding RNA (ZMAY_LNC000176)". Lineage: Eukaryota; Viridiplantae; Streptophyta; Magnoliopsida; Poales; Poaceae. The record is from RNAcentral.
GUUUUAUGGCGCGUCACAAUCAUUACUUCUCUUAUAAGCCACCGUCUAAGGAUGGCGUUCUGUAAAUACUCCACAUCAUAGUAAAGGUUUCAUCUGGCUGGUGCCCACAGUUUUCUCUUCGUAUUAAAUGGGUUUUCACGUAAAUCUGUGUGUCGUGCUCUGUAGUUUGUUGGUAUUUCUUUUUAUCUGUCGAUUCUGCUAACAUGCAGCAGUACUACCGGCUUGUUCGCCGCCGGCGACCGGAGGAGGAAUGCUCGCCGCCGCCCGGCGUGCUCGGUCUGGGCACUCAGGCUGGGGCGGAGCAGCAGCGGGAGUAAGAAGGCAGGCCUCGGCAUCGUCCGCAACCUCGACGGAUAGUACGAGGACACCUUUAACGACGUCCAGCGGGUACCCGUGCCUCAAACCUCAUACUAAACUAGGAGUCUCUUGCACUUAACUUUCAUCACUUUUCAUUACUUGUGAUGAGCUUCCCUCCUUCUGUCUGUGGCUGCAACAACUGAUGAACCACUUAACCUAAUAAAUCUUAUUAGGUUGUAAUUUGUAUGAAAGCUACUAGGCCCCCGCGUCGCCCCUUUGGCGACUUGGGCGGCUGCAAGCCUAGCCGCCGCCAACUCCCCUCCCUCCCCAUCUCUUUGCCUUGCCGCCGCCGGAGCUAGCUGGUGGGUUGCCCGCGCGGCUAGCAAUGAAGGCGGUGGUGGGGUGCUUGCUGCCCUGCUCACGCGUCCAACCCGUGGCAGCGCUGUCCGUCCACUCAGGCAGCUAGCCUUCGGCUGGGUGCGCGCCCGCGUGGAUGGCCCGGUGGCGGCAUCUGCCCAUCCCUGAUGCUCGGGGGGUUGGAGGUGUGCCUUGACUGCGUGCUCGCGCAACUGAUGCGGGGAGGGCUAGAUCUGGCGCCCCUAGGGCUGGGAGCAGUGUCGGCCCGUGGAGGGAUGGAUCUGGCGCGCGCGAGGUUGGCGGUCUCCGUGUGCCAGCCGUCGGAGGCGCUGGGAGGCUGGUCCCGGGCCAGCGCAUGAGCGGGGGUGGAGUUCGGCGUUGGUGCGCCGGCAGGCCUGCGCAGUCGGUCGGAAUGGCGGUGGCUGGACCUCCUCUCAUCUGCGGCUGCGUCGGCUAGUGACUCGGGCUAGCGCAGGGUGGUGGUGGCGACAGGCCCCAAAAUCUUCAUCAUUGUGCGAGACGACGGGGCAGUGGCGACGACGGAGGCAACUUGUUGUGUCUCGAGGUUUCUGCCAGAUGCUGUGCUGGGAGCUCUUGGGCGAAAGUCUCGGCGACGGUGACGCUCAUGGGUGCCGCUUCACCUGUUGAGGGCGUCGCAUCCCCAACGUUAUCUUCCUUGGGUGAAAGCUCGGUCGAUCGCGGAUAGGCGACAGUGGCGUCACGGUGACGUCACUCCCUUCCUGAAGACGUCGCUUCUGAAUUUCGUCUUGGCCAUGACUUUGCCUUCGGCUAUUGCUUUGCUUCUCAGCAACGUGAAGUCGGAGAUGCUAUUUCAGGGGAUGUGGCUCGUCAACGAUAACAUGAGGCGAACCUCCCUUCUUCGUGGUCCACAAUAUUUCGAAGGUCGGGCAAAAACGAGAGGCGGGGCGGAGGGUCAAGAUUGAAAGUCGGAGCUGCUCUGUGCCUUGAGCCCGGCAACGAUGACCUGUUGAGACCUUUCGUUUCGAGCUAUUUAUCUGUUUUUCGUUUGGUUCGCCUAUCAUCUGCUUUGGGAAGUCGGAGUUGCUGGAAGCUCUGCAUCUUUGCUUGACAGCGAUGACCUUUAGCAGUUUUGUGUGCUCUCGUGUGGGUUGUCGCUGCCUGUGUUGUUUGGGCGCUCUGUGUCGGCGGUGAUUGUGGUGCCGUAUUGAUGUUCCAAUCCAACCGACGAGUUGGGUUGUAUGAUGUCAGCGUGUUGAUGUCCCAAUCCAACCGCCUAUUAUCUGUUGUUUAGUCCGAUCCGGACCACUUCUUCUUUACUAAUAUAAUCGGUAGCUCUCUUGUUUGGUUCGUUUCAAAAAAAUUGUAUGAAUAACAAAAAGCUUCGGUAGAGGUCUGGCGGUCUCUACAUUUUCCAUUUGGAAAAAAAAUCCAAAUUACUCCACCGUACAAUGUUCACAUAAUCUACUAAAGUAUUUUAUUAGUUUAUUUUAUCUCUAAACGAGUUGGUUCAAUUUACAACCUAAUAAGAUUUAUCUUUUUUAUUUUAUUUACGUACAAAUUAAAAUUUCAGUUUAAAUUUUGUUGAUAAUAGCUAAUAGCAUAAUUUAGCAAAAAAAAACAGAUUAUGAUUCUUUAUAAUUAUUUUAAUAGUUUAGAGAUUAGGCAUGAUAAUAAUAUUAAUUGUAUAAAAAUAAAUAUUAAAUAAUGAUAUAAAAUUCUAGAUGUGCGACAUCUCUCUCGUCUCUGUCGCAUGUCUUUGGGCCUAUUUGUUUUGGCUUAUUUUUAGUUUUUGUCCACGAGAAACUAUUUCAGUUUUUAGCCCGCUUUUAUGAGAAUCGUUUUGGUAAAAAAAUGUCUAAAAUAAAUAUGAACAUAGAAUCGGCCGAGUCGACACGGAUUUUGGAAUUCGACACUUUCUAGAUCAUAAACUCAUGAACAGUUGAACACCUUCAUCUCCACACGUAAUUUUUCACGAUACUUAGAUAUUCCUACAGUCAAAUUUUUGGUAAAGCUCGUUGAAAAAAAAAAACAAAAUAGUUAUGGAUUCUUCCCAGAGUCAUAUUUUUCCAUUGUGACAAGCCACAUCAUCCACAAAUUGUAGGCUACAAAUCUUAAGCUGCAUGUAACCUUAGGGCCCCUUUGGAACACAGGGUAGGAAAACACAAGAAUGAGAAAAACAUACGAAUUGAGGUGCUAGAUUUCGUCGAUCCUAUGGAAACUCAAAACAUAGGAAUUUAGAUGGAAAGCCUUUUGGUAGCACCAUAGGAAAGGAUCGAUUUUGGUCUUCUGUACAAGGAGGUGGGAAGAGGGAAGGUUUGCCGCCAAAAUGCAAAACAACGUGCACGUACGCAGCGAUGCGUUGAUUCGCGCCAGGAAAAUUUACAUGAGGUCUGCGAUCUUUUUUAUAUUUUCCUAUGAAUUGAACAACGGGAUUGUUAUCCUAUAGAUUAAUUCCUUCCCUUUCCUGUGAACAAAAGGCGUAGAUAGAAAAAAAAAGUCCAUAGAAACAUGAAUCCUCCAAAAAUCCUAUGCCUACCCUUCGAUCCAAAAGAGCCCUUAGAGGACAUGGAUUUACUAAACUAGGGUAUCCAUUCCUAGAAAUAUCAGCUGUUGCUACUUUAUUUCCAUAAAAGACGUACUAUACAUUUCGGUCAUGAAUGAACCAAUUAACAAAUACGCAGUUAUAAGUUUUUUUGACAAGUGAGUUAUAAGUUGAAGUUUUUAUGGAUCUUAAACUAUCUCUAGUAGACUUCCUAUUUCACUCGUUAUCUCAUUUUCUAUUUUAAACUUAUAUCUACAAACAAUGCAUCUACAGUGCAAAACAAUAUUAUACAUGACCGCAUGUACGGUGUUACUAGAGUUGGCGGUAUAUAUAUACAUGAGUAUGACUACUCCAUCUGUACAGACUACAAAGCACGAGCAACAGACUUCAAUUGCCCCCUACUUUAUGGCAGUGCAAGGCUGCGGGCGAACUGUCCCAAAUUCUGUCCAUUUUGCAUUCUGACAAGUGCUUCUUGUGUUGCCCUUGCCGUCCUGCAUUUUCAGGUCGAUGUUCUGCAAGGUAAUGCCUUGGCAUGGGACGUUCUCACUGCAGUUCAUCUUGAUGGCGUCCUUGGUACUGGUCGUCCCUCUAAUGUUCUUGAAGACGACACCGCUGACCUGCACUGCUGACUCUUGUUCUCCGCAUGGCUUAGCCUUGUCGCAGUAGUUCU